AGGGGAGUCCCCGCACCAGGUUGAGACGACUUUCCUUCCUCAGCUUCCCCGCCCUCUCUCUCCGAAUUCUUGAAUUCUUCAGCCCGGGCCGCCGCUGCCCUCCUGGUCCCUCCGGGCCGCACGCGCGGCAGGGAGCGAGCAGCAUCCGGUCCCUUCCGGAGCGCGCAGGCGGCGCCUUCUCAGCGUGCGCCCGGGGUGGGUCGACAGCGACCGGGACGGGAGGCGGGAGCGUUCCCGGAGGCUGCGGAGAGCCCCGCUUUGUCUCAAGGGACCGCUGGGAAGUUUCCUCCUUUUCCCGCCCGCAUCCCUCUCCUUCCAGGUGCUCCAGGAAGUCGCCGGAGCUGAAGGUGAAGAAACUGAGGCCCAGAAAGGUGCUAGCAGCAAUAGUGAUGAGACAGAGACAAAAAAUCAAGAAGAAAGCCAAGCUUCUUAAUUGCCCUGCCUAAGCUACUCAGAUGGCAUAUUAGCUCCCUGGUUGCUGCUUGAUUCAAGCUCUGUGGAAGUUGAGGGCAUUCUGGCUUCGUUGAUGUGUUCCCUGUGGACCACAAGGACUUCACCUGCAAUUCAUUAUCUUGUAUAAAAAAUACUCCUCUACGAGAGAGAUCCAGACGUUAACAAGUUGUGACAACUUAUUUUUUUAUGUUAACAUUUAUUGAAGGCUUUCUUUGUACCUGAUGCUGAGCUAAGAGUUUUAUAUGUAUCAUCUCAGUUAUUCUUCACAGCAGCCCUAUGAUGUGGGUUUUAUUAUCCCCAUAUACAGGUGGAGAAACUGAGACUUAGGGAAGUUCUGUAAGUUUCUGACCAUUACACAGUGAGUGAUUAGUAAAGUUGGAAUUGGCAGCCCAUUCAUUUAAUCCUCACAUGUGAAAGCCUCAUAUCUUAAGAAUGUAAGAGUAAUAAUGUAAUUAAUGCUAACCUUAAAUUUCAUUUCAGAUUAAAAAUAUUUAUAUUUUAGAAGAGUGGGGUUAGGUUGUUAUAUAUAUGUUAUAUAUGUAUACUAUGAAAGAUCUUAAUUUUUUAAAAUAAAAAAUAUUAAAAGU
RNAcentral lists this long non-coding RNA (1040 nucleotides) under Equus asinus (donkey). Its description in RNAcentral is "lncRNA (ENSEASG00005030731.1)". The record is from RNAcentral. Lineage: Eukaryota; Metazoa; Chordata; Mammalia; Perissodactyla; Equidae.